UUAUUGGAGAGUUUGAUCCUGGCUCAGAACGAACGCUGGCGGCGUGGUUUAGGCAUGCAAGUCGUACGAUCUUUGAUGAAUUUAUUUGAUCGCAAGAUUGAGUAAAUUUGUUAAAGAGAGUGGCAAAAGGGUGAGUAAUACGUAGGUAAUCAACCCUUAAGAUGCGGACAACCCUGUGAAAACGGGGCUAAUACGCAGUAAGACCACAACCUGAAACUUCAGGAUGAGGUUAAAGAUGGGGACCCGUAAGGGCCUGUCGCUUAAGGACGAGCCUGCGUCCUAUCAGCUAGUUGGUAGGGUAACGGCCUACCAAGGCAUUUGACGGGUAGCUGGUCUGA
Molecule: ribosomal RNA, 338 nt
Filed under: Candidatus Omnitrophota bacterium
Lineage: Bacteria; Pseudomonadati; Candidatus Omnitrophota
Description: bacterial SSU rRNA
Rfam family: Bacterial small subunit ribosomal RNA
Source: RNAcentral